GAUGAACGCUGGCGGCGUGCUUAACACAUGCAAGUCGAACGGUGAACCCGGAGCCUGCUCUGUGGGAUCAGUGGCGAACGGGUGAGUAACACGUGAGCAACCUGCCCCUGACUCUGGGAUAAGCGCUGGAAACGGCGUCUAAUACUGGAUAUGUGACGUGACCGCAUGGUCUGCGUUUGGAAAGAUUUUUCGGUUGGGGAUGGGCUCGCGGCCUAUCAGCUUGUUGGUGGGGUAAUGGCUCACCAAGGCGUCGACGGGUAGCCGGCCUGAGAGGGUGACCGGCCACACUGGGACUGAGACACGGCCCAGACUCCUACGGGAGGCAGCAGUGGGGAAUAUUGCACAAUGGGCGCAAGCCUGAUGCAGCAACGCCGCGUGAGGGAUGACGGCCUUCGGGUUGUAAACCUCUUUUAGCAGGGAAGAAGCGAAAGUGACGGUACCUGCAGAAAAAGCGCCGGCUAACUACGUG
RNAcentral lists this ribosomal RNA (469 nucleotides) under uncultured bacterium. RNAcentral describes it as "partial 16S ribosomal RNA". It matches the Rfam family "Bacterial small subunit ribosomal RNA", at positions 28 to 507 of the family's 1533-position model. The record is from RNAcentral.